This 253-nucleotide ribosomal RNA is filed under the name uncultured bacterium. RNAcentral's name for it is "partial 16S ribosomal RNA". It matches the Rfam family "Bacterial small subunit ribosomal RNA", at positions 524 to 776 of the family's 1533-position model. The record is from RNAcentral.
UACGUAGGCAGCGAGCGUUGUUCGGAGUUACUGGGCGUAAAGCGUGCGUAGGCGGUGUCUUAAGUUUGUUGUGAAAUCUCCCGGCUUAACCGGGAGGGUGCGGCGAAUACUGAGAUGCUGGAGUGCCGGAGAGGUAAGCGGAAUUCCUGGUGUAGCGGUGAAAUGCGUAGAUAUCAGGAGGAACACCUGCGGUGUAGACGGCUUACUGGACGGUAACUGACGCUGAGGCACGAAAGCGUGGGUAGCAAACGGG